Molecule: ribosomal RNA, 253 nt
Filed under: uncultured bacterium
Lineage: Bacteria
Description: partial 16S ribosomal RNA
Rfam family: Bacterial small subunit ribosomal RNA
Source: RNAcentral
GACGGAGGAUGCAAGCGUUAUCCGGAAUGAUUGGGCGUAAAGCGUCCGCAGGUGGCAGUUCAAGUCUGCUGUCAAAGACCGGGGCUUAACCCUGGAAAGGCGAUGGAAACUGAAAGGCUAGAGAGAGGUAGGGGUAGAGGGAAUUCCCAGUGUAGCGGUGAAAUGCGUAGAGAUUGGGAAGAACAUCGGUGGCGAAAGCGCUCUACUGGACCUCAUCUGACACUCAGGGACGAAAGCUAGGGGAGCGAAUGGG